AAGUCGUAACAAGGUUUCCGUAGACAAGUCCUUCCGUGGUACACUUGCCGAAGCCUUAGCUGCCCGAAGGGGUUCUUAGCGACUAUAAAUAAGUAGGUAGCUAGUCUCGAUUGAGGCAACAUUUCCAAAUUGCGGGAAUCCCCUAACGCCGACACUACUAAGUGUGGCUCGAAAGAGACCACAUGGCCAGGUUAAUAGCCUCGGGUAUAGUAAAAAUGUGUCUGGAUGUAACAAUGGGCAAUCCGCAGCCAAGUCCUAACCUCCUCGUGAGUAUGGAUGCAGUUCACAGGCCAAAUGGUUAUGGGUGGCGCAAGCUGCUUAAGAUAUGGUCGGGCUCUUUAGGAAACUAUUGAGGUAAGUACCCGUUGUAGUUAACUAUGACGUCACGUAAAGCGUUCCGUAGGUGAACCUGCGGAAGGAUCAUUAACGAAUCAAAGGUCUUCGGACCGAUUCUCUUACACCCGUGCUCUUGUUUUCGGACAAACGAUUUUCUGCAUAUACAGUCGUCUGAGAAAUCCAUCCUUUUAUGGAUGUAGAAGAAAUAUAAAAA
RNAcentral lists this unclassified non-coding RNA (550 nucleotides) under plant metagenome. RNAcentral describes it as "partial contains small subunit ribosomal RNA and internal transcribed spacer 1". The stretch from base 65 to 353 matches the Rfam family "Group I catalytic intron". Rfam says of the family: Group I catalytic introns are large self-splicing ribozymes. They catalyse their own excision from mRNA, tRNA and rRNA precursors in a wide range of organisms. The record is from RNAcentral.